RNAcentral lists this ribosomal RNA (418 nucleotides) under Deltaproteobacteria bacterium. RNAcentral describes it as "bacterial SSU rRNA". It matches the Rfam family "Bacterial small subunit ribosomal RNA", at positions 1 to 402 of the family's 1533-position model. The record is from RNAcentral. Lineage: Bacteria; Pseudomonadati; Myxococcota; Myxococcia.
AAACUGGAGAGUUUGAUCCUGGCUCAGAACGAACGCUGGCGGCGUGCCUAACACAUGCAAGUCGAACGGAAUUAAGGGGCUUGCCCUUUAAUUUAGUGGCGCACGGGUGAGUAACGCGUAGAUAAUCUGCCUGAUGAUUUGGGAUAACACUUCGAAAGAGGUGCUAAUACCGGAUAAGCCCACGGAGUCUUUGGACUCUGCGGGAAAAGGGGGGGACCUUUAUCGGCCUUCUGUCAUCAGAUGAGUCUGCGUACCAUUAGCUAGUUGGUAGGGUAAUGGCCUACCAAGGCUACGAUGGUUAGCUGGUUUGAGAGAAUGAUCAGCCACACUGGAACUGAGACACGGUCCAGACUCCUACGGGAGGCAGCAGUGGGGAAUUUUGCGCAAUGGGCGAAAGCCUGACGCAGCAACGCCGCGU